GCAUAUCAAUAAGCGGAGGAAAAGAAACCAACAGGGAUUGCCCUAGUAACGGCGAGUGAAGCGGCAACAGCUCAAAUUUGAAAUCUGGCUCUUUCAGAGUCCGAGUUGUAAUUUGCAGAGGGCGCUUUGGCUUUGGCAGCGGUCCAAGUUCCUUGGAACAGGACGUCACAGAGGGUGAGAAUCCCGUACGUGGUCGCUAGCUAUUGCCGUGUAAAGCCCCUUCGACGAGUCGAGUUGUUUGGGAAUGCAGCUCUAAAUGGGAGGUAAAUUUCUUCUAAAGCUAAAUAUUGGCCAGAGACCGAUAGCGCACAAGUAGAGUGAUCGAAAGAUGAAAAGCACUUUGGAAAGAGAGUCAAACAGCACGUGAAAUUGUUGAAAGGGAAGCGCUUGCAGCCAGACUUGCUUGCAGUUGCUCAUCCGGGCUUUUGCCCGGUGCACUCUUCUGCAGGCAGGCCAGCAUCAGUUUGGGCGGUGGGAUAAAGGUCUCUGACACGUUCCUUCCUUCGGGUUGGCCAUAUAGGGGAGACGUCAUACCACCAGCCUGGACUGAGGUCCGCGCAUCUGCUAGGAUGCUGGCGUAAUGGCUGUAAGCGGCCCGUCUUGAAACACGGACCAAGGAGUCUAACAUCUAUGCGAGUGUUUGGGUGUCAAGCCCGAGCGCGUAAUGAAAGUGAACGGAGGUGGGAACCCGCAAGGGUGCACCAUCGACCGAUCCUGAAGUUUACGGAAGGAUUUGAGUAAGAGCAUGGCUGUUGGGACCCGAAAGAUGGUGAACUAUGCUUGAAUAGGGUGAAGCCAGAGGAAACUCUGGUGGAGGCUCGCAGCGGUUCUGACGUGCAAAUCGAUCGUCAAAUUUGGGCAUAGGGGCGAAAGACUAAUCGAACUAUCUAGUAGCUGGUUCUGCGAAG
Molecule: ribosomal RNA, 908 nt
Filed under: Curvularia lunata var. lunata
Lineage: Eukaryota; Fungi; Ascomycota; Dothideomycetes; Pleosporales; Pleosporaceae
Description: LSU rRNA
Rfam family: Eukaryotic large subunit ribosomal RNA
Source: RNAcentral